UCCUUAGGUGUUCUGGGCAGCACGCGCGCUACAAUGGUCUUCGCAAACGGAUGCAUUCUCGAAGGAGAAUGCCAAUCUUGGAAUCUAUGCCUUGGUCGGGACAGUUGCUUGCAAUUUUUCGACUCGAACCAGGAAUUCCUUGUAAUCGUGAUUCAUCACAUCACGAUGAAUACGUCCCUGCCCUUUGUACACACCGCCCGUCGCUCCUACCGAUCGAAGAGUUAGGUGAAUUGUUUUGAUCGAUAAGAUUUGACUAUGGUCAACUCUCGUUGUGAAAUUCUGUGAAUCUGACUGUUUAGAGGAAGGAAAAGUCGUAACA
RNAcentral lists this ribosomal RNA (319 nucleotides) under uncultured eukaryote. RNAcentral describes it as "partial 18S ribosomal RNA". It matches the Rfam family "Eukaryotic small subunit ribosomal RNA", at positions 1470 to 1796 of the family's 1831-position model. The record is from RNAcentral.